AUAGCUACGGUGCACACAGAAACUGGACCUCCCUAGCUGUCCCUGGCUGGCCCGAGGAAAGAGGCAGCACCAUGAGCCGCGUAGUGACCAUCGAGAAGUCCUCGACUGACCGUCAAUUAUCUCAGCAACUGUGUCGGGAGAAGUCGAGGGGCUACUUUUCCUCCAAUCGAACUUACGAUUUCCUUUAUGGUAAGGCUGCCCCAGAACCCGCUCCUGGGCUGUCGACUCUUGGGCCAGAUUGACCUUACAGUUGGUAGGACCUUGCCGGGGAAUGGUGAACGAAGGAUGAACCUCUGGAUAGACUCCCUGCCCAGAGUUGUCUAUUGUUAGGCUGGGGCAGCUAUGAAGCUCUUCAGAUGGCCGCGCGCUCAGGUGCGCCAUGCCAGGUGCACCGCGCGGGGACACCUUACUCUUUGUCUCUCUCCUGGGAUCAUUUGCUCAGAUCUGAGCUAUCUUUCUGAAACCUACUUCGGCGGAAAAGUAUGGAGAGAUUUGCAGAUUUGGGUAUUCAUGUACACAAUUUUCCCACAUUCAAACUGCAUACAAUGCCCAGCAAAAAUGAUCUUCCAGCUCUCAUUUGCUGGGCAGCUUCAAAUUCUGCAUUAUAGAUAAAGAGGCUGCAGUUUAUCUCACUUUUGAUUUUAGCGUUUUAUUUUUCAUUAAACGUUUUCUCUUCCAUUAAAAUACUGUUUAAAAACUAUGUUCCUCUAGCGCCAAUAAAGCUCCAGUUUAUUUUAAUUCUCCGACUUUCCACUUGUGUUCUAACUCUAUUGGACCUCAAAGUCCUGUUCUAUAUAUUCUCAAAAUCUAUUUCAACGCUGGUACAUAUGCUAGGUACUUCAAAAUGUUAAUUCAAUUACCAAAUUUACUGUUACAUUUGUUACAACAGUCAAACAUGAUUUUAUUUUUUUCCAGUUUUGUUCUCAGUAGCUCUAGGCUUUGGCCUGAAUCUAGCAUUGUUUCCAAACAUAUGGUGUUGCCUUUGGGAUGCCCAGAGUCUUCUUUGAAUGGGAUCCUAUAGGGUACCCAUUUCCUGGAUAGGAGCUAUGUAAUGAUUGCUUACAUAUUCUGGCCCGGGAUCUUUAUUCAUGCUUGGUUUCAUCUUUUAAAAUAAAUCUAGUAAAGUCCUGUAAACAUAUCUCUAUGUUGCUUUCAAAGGUAAUUUGGGAAGGAAGAUAAACAUCUUCAGUAAAGACAAGCAAAGAAUUUAUUAAGCUUGUUGGUUGUUUUACCUCUAAGUGUCUCUUUUGCAGAGAUUGCUAAAUGUUUCCAUAUCCCUUGGAAAGAUCAGAAAUCCAUUCAUAAUAGGUCAAUUGAAAGUCUGCAUUGUUACAAUAAAACUGGCAAGCUCAUGCAGCUAGUCAUGGACAGGAAGCAAGGUAUAACCAGGACAGACUAGAACCUGGACAGGAAAAUUAAACACUAAUGUGACAUGCUUUCCUGCUUUCUUUCUUUGACCUUACAGUCUUUUACCCUGUUAGUGUUGACAGAUUUAGCAAAUAAAAAUAGAGGAUGUACAGUUAAAUUUGAAUUCCAGAUAAAAAAACAUAAUAUUUUAGUAUAAAUUUUUCAUCCCAUGCAAUAUUUGGGACAUUUAUAUUAAAGAAUUAUUAAUGGCUUAUUUGAAAUUCAGAUUUAACUGGCAACUCUAGCUAUCUGUAUUUUAUCUGGCAUGUUAUUGUUUUCUAUGUGUGUGCUUCCUUUUUCCAUUUGACAACCACUUGUGUAUGGAUUUAUCUUACUAGAACAGGGGCUGGGGUGGCACUCUACAUAACCUCUUAAUCCUAAAGCUUACCACCAAUUGUAUAGAAUAGAGUUUCAUGUAUCUUAGUUGAAGAUUUAAAAUAAAUAACAUUGAUGCUGACCAGCUGGUAAGUUUGUUGACCUUGGGUCUGGUUUCCAUCUGUAGGGAAAAAAAAAAAAAAGAAGUGACGGAUUAGGUAUGGGGUCAAAGGUACAAAUAUGAACACCUCUAAGCUCCUUAACUGUUAUCUAAGAAGCCCUUGGUUAUUUCCUUCACUUUUAAUGUAUUAUUCUUUGCAUCAUUCUAUUUCAUUCACCCUGGUCUCUGCUGUUCUCCAACAUAUCAGUCAUGUUUUCAUCUUAGGGCCUUUCAUCUAGUGAUUUGCUCUCCUAAAAUGUUCUUCCUCCAGAUAUUCAUAUAGCAAAUCCCUCACCUUCAAGUUUCCUUACAUGUUAUGUUGUCAUGAAUUUAAAAUUUGAUCCCAGUCUCCCUUACCCUGAUAUCUUUUUUUAAUAGCACUUAUUAUUCUCUAACAUAUUAUAUAAUUUCUUGUUUAUUAUUUUUGUUGUUUAAUGUGCUUACCAUGAAGUCAGUUUUUAAAAAUCUUUUUGUUGAUGUAUGUAGUCCAAGCAUAUAGGACAUAAUAGCCAGUCAAAAACACCUUGUUGUGUGAAGGAAAAAGGGAGCCUGAGCCCCUUGCAGCUUUUCAAAUGUUGGUGGAAAUAUCAGAUAACUACAUCCAGCAGGUUGUUUUUUGGGGGCAACUACAGAGUCGUUAGGUUUUAAGAAUUGACUCAUUCAAGUUCGAAUGAAACUUAUUUCUAACAUUACAAUACCAGUUUACUAAUAUCUAUGAAGAAAUAUAUGUCACUCAGUUGCCUAGACUAGCUGGUCAGGGUAUUUGUUUCCCCAGAGAUAAGUCUACUUGGGAAAUCAAGUGUCUCUCUGAAGACUGUUUAUGAGUUCAGUGUCAAAUCAGUUCAUUUUAAUGGGUGAUGUAAUCAAUCACUAAUAUUCUUCAUCAUUAAAGAUAUACCUAAUAAAUAAGUUCUUAUAACAGCAGGUUAAUCUUCUAUGGAACUUCAGAGAGAUAACUUAGGCCCAUCAUCAAUGUACAGUACUUAUAAACGUAAGGAGUACAUUCUGAAGAUAGCUGACCUUAUUUAUUUCUUAUUAGAAAUUGAGAGUUCCUUACCAUGUCUACCAAUUCUGAGGAACUUUGCUAUUUGCCUCUUCUUAGUACACUGAAUAUAGAACUAGUACCUAAAUUUAUUGUUUCUUUCUCUUGUAACUGGGCAUAGUACAUAUGUAUAUAUAAUAUCUUUUCUCUUAAAGUAUUUUCUGGACUAUGAAGGACUUCAUAGGAAAGAAGAGAGCUAUUUAGGGUAUUGUGCUUGUAAAGAUGCUGGUCUUUCUUUUUGCAUUCCAUUUUCAUAAACUGACUUGGAAUAUACAGGAAAGAAAUGUAUCUAACAAAUUCUCACUGGUAGAUAGAAUCGAAUAAUAGGGCCAUCAGUUGCUGCAGAGUUAGGCAAUAAUUAAACUUUCUAAUUUGUUUUCAAAUUGAGAAAUUACAAGGCAGACAUGGUGUUACAUACCUAUAGUUCCAGAUACUUAGUAGGCUAAGACAGGAGGAUGGUUUGAGCCCAGGAGUUUAAGGCUAGUCUGGGUAACAUAAUGAGACCUCCAUUUCAAAAAAAAAAAAAAAAAAAAGAAAAGAAAAAGAAGAAGAAAGAAGAAAGAAAAUUAUAUUGCUUUGCUAGUGUUCUCACCCUAGGAGAAUAUUCUUUCUACUCCUUAUACUACUUUAUUAUGUUUUUUCUCAGAUCCAUUGUUUAUUGUGUCAAGUGCAAAAGACCACACACAGGCAUAUAUUCAAGCCACCCUGAUUCGAAGCCGACUGGUAUGUCUGAUUCAUCUACUAAGGCAACCUAAUGAAUCUGAACUGUCUAGCAUGGCUAACUGCUUUAAUCAGAUUGACAAUCAUCAGAUCUCUACUGGAUUUUAGGGUCUGCAGAAAUUACUUUGCUAUGAUUACUAGGGGGCAAGGCAUCUCAAUACUUGUGAUACAAGAGCCAUUUGUUAAUUUACUUUGAUGGAAAAGAUACUCAUGCCUGGGUUGGAAGAAUGCAAGCAGUAUGAAAGCAUAUACAAUAUAAACUAAUUCUAGCCCUGCCAUGUAAAUAGUCACUGUCAUCAAUUUCCUGAGUGUCCUUUUAGAGAUUGUCUAUGCAUACAACAAUUGUUUUCCCAAUAUUCGUUGUCUUGUUCUAUUUUUUUAAAGUUUAUAAUAUAAAGUGCUUUAGAAAAUCUGAUAUUUUAUAUAUGUAUAUAAUUAUGUUCUUUUUCUCCAUUCAUCCCUUUCCUAACAUUAGAGAAAAGUUCCCAGAUUUAGAAGCAUGUUCAGUAACCUGAUUCAUUAUCCAAGAUAUUCUCAGUAUUGGAGCAAGUCCGAUCCUCUCCCACCAUUUAUCAGUCGAGAAUGGAGGGGACUUGAGAAGCAUAAAGAAGUCCUCUGGCAGCUUUCCACGUAAGUGUCAGAUGGCUCCUGACACUAAAUAUACUUGUGUAUUUUUAUUUUAAAAAAUUUUAAUGUAUUUACUCUGCAUUAUUUAAAAAUGUAUGGUUAUAAUGUUUACCUGGACCAAGUUCUCUUGUUAAACCCCUUCUUCCAAAACAAGCUUGAUUAAGGAGCAAAGGUUAUACAUUUAUUGGUUAGUAGUUUUCAGAAGGUUGGCAUGAAAAAAAUAUGUAAAUUACUAAUCCACAAAUUAUUAUUUGUGAGAAACUUCCUUAUGGAAAUAUUUUUAUGCUGAUUUUUUUUCAGAGAAAUGUUAAAAUUCUUUGUGUGUGUAUGUGUGUAUGUGUGUGUGUGUGUGUGUGUGUGUUUUACGUGGUGAUAGAACUUAGGGCCUCACAUAUGCUAGGCAAGCAUUCUACCACUGAGCUCAGUGUCUAAGCUUAGUGUCAUAUCUAAGAAAUGUUAAAUUCUUAACUAAAGCAUACUCAAUUUCUAGAUUUUGGGGAAGGAUUCUUUAAAUUAAAUUACUGGGAAUUUCAGAAUGUCUUAGGAACUGGAGAACUUGCUGGGGCUAAUGACCCCUGAAGCCCAAGUAGUUUUUGAAAUCAUAGCUUGUUUGUCAUCUGCAGGGAAGAGACUGGUAUGCCUGCUAAUAAUGACCUGAAGGUUGCAGAAUGUGUAUACAUUUAUUGAAAACUUGCCACCAAAGAUAGGAAUGACUGCGUUUUUGUUACUUUGAUCCAUCUUUAGAAAUUGUAAGUGCUCUUUUCUGCUAGUGUCCAAAAUAUUUUUUGGAGACUUACAGCCAAAUCACCUUACUCUUGAAAUCAUUUUUUAAACUACAAGUUAAUAUUUAGUAAAUUAACAAAUGAUAAUGCUUUUGGAACUUUGUUAUUCUCAUGUGCUUUUAAUUAAAAGUGGGCAUUUUUAUAUACAGGAUUUCACAAAUAUAUUCAUUUCUGAACUCUCACUCCCUAUUACUAAGUUCUUGUUUCCUGGCUUACAGGAAGUAAUCAUGCCUAGUUUAAGAUGUAGGACAGCUAAAUGCAUGAUAACGAAGACUUCCCUGUUACUAUGAGAUAUUCAGGCUCUAUAGAUGUAGAAAUGUUAAGUAGAAAUUAGAGGUGGAAAUGAUACACUUGAAUAAUGUUUUCCUGCUUCAUUUUAGAAUGGGCACUUGUUUUCAGAUGCCUAAAGAAGUUUAUGAAAAUCCCGACGUUACUGGAAAGAAUCGCUAUAAAUACUUUGACAGGUACAAAAUGACUAAUGAACAUUUCAGUCUUGACAUUGUUAAAAAAUCUCUUUACAUCAAUGAUAACAGCUAUCAUUUUAAGUGCAUGCAAUAUACCAGGCACCACUUUAAAGUGCUUUGCAUACAUGCUGUCUAAUCUUCACAACAGAAAUGUAGCAUAAGAUACAUAUUAGCCACAUUUUUCCAAUAAUGAAGCUGAAACUGAGAGGAAAAGUAGAUUACUCAAAAUCGAUAAGCAAGCUAGCUUGUGACAGAGCUGGAAUUCCAACUAAGUCUGCCUAACUUUAGAGGUACUAAUUGCAACUAAGAAUGUAUAUUUGCAGAGAUAUCAUGAAAUUGUAGAGCAGGGAAAAUUGUUAAAAAAGUGUUCAAAUGGUCAUUUGCUCUCUGUAUGAACAUUGUCCAAACCAACACAUUAAAAAAUUUACUUUAUUUCAUUUGAGACUAAUUUCAUGUGAUAAUUAUAUACCUUAUUAAAAUGAGAUGAGAAUUUUCCUGUAGGUGUUAUGUAGGUUAGAAAAAUAGUCUUGAUAUCACAUCUGCAUAAGCUUCCUCGAGAAAGUAAACUUCUAAUCCAUGUUAUUAUUUAUGAGUAACUGCCUUAUGGAGCUUUUCUGAUAUUAACUCAGGCAUAUUCAAUUCCUAGACUUUUCUGGGGGGAAAAGGGGAUGCUUUAAACUUUAAGUCAUUGGGAUUUUCAAAAUGUCUCAGGGAGCUUGAGAACUUACUUUACUUUCAUAAACUAAAGAAGUUUAUGAAAAUCCUGACGUUACUAGAAAGAAUCGCUAUAAAUACUUUGACAGGUACAAAAUGACUAAUGAACAUUUCAGUCUUGACAUUGUUAGAAAAUCUCUUCACAUCAAUGAUAACAGCUAUCAUUUUAAGUGCAUGCAAUACACUUCACAGCUAAUGGCUGGUGAAGCCCAAGUGGAGAACAGUUUCUGAAAUCAUGGCUUGUUUGCCAUCACAAAGAAGAUACUGGUAUGCCUUCUGAAAACGCACAUUCAUUAGCUGUGUUCUACAGCUAUUAAGUCUUCUGGGCCAGACUUGGGAAUGUGCAUUUUAAACAAGACCUUCCUCCCUCCCCUCAGUGAUUUUAUAUAUGCCAAAAUUUUAGUAUUUUUGUUACAUGAGAUAUUUGUUGUGUGGCAGAUCCCUCAGAAAACACACUAAGUCCUAGUUUUGCCCAAAUUGAAGAGUAUUUAGCCAGCUAUACUGCUCCCCACAGGACCCAUAACUGUCUGCAAGGAAUAGCCCCAUGCCUGAGCAUUUUAGGAUAUUUAAAAGCAAAAACCACAUCCGGGUUGAUGUAGCUGCAGGCAAGCAGGUACAGAAGCUGGAUUGGGCAAUUAGCGAGACAAUGCAAUGGGUACAUUGGUGUUUCCCACAGGAUUUUCCAGGUUGGCAUAGCAGCAAGGAAGCAGAAGGGAAAUUGGUCAAAAUGACCCUAGUUCAGUACAAAUUAAGAGAAUGGUUACUAAUGUCUAGACAAUCAAUCUCUGACAAGGUACAUUGCCAAAGUAAAAUGGAAACAAAGGAGAACAAUUUUACAUUGUAUAAGAAUUGGCUAUUUUGUGUUGCCAAGUCUAGGUAACUAUUAAUGGGUACAGAAGAGGGGCUUUCCCAUGGGAGAAGCUUUUCUUACAUGAUAAGGAGUCUCAGGGAAAAUAGAGUCUGUUUGGUCAUUGCCCAGAUAGCCUGGUCCAUAAUAUAUUCAAAGAUUUUAAGAAACACAUACUAAAAUUAGAAGAAAUGCAAAAUGCAAAAGUCCCACACAUCUGUGUUUUUCUUUUUCAUCCCAGGCCCUUCCUUCCGUUUUAUCAACAGAUGCC
Molecule: long non-coding RNA, 7349 nt
Filed under: Marmota monax (woodchuck)
Lineage: Eukaryota; Metazoa; Chordata; Mammalia; Rodentia; Sciuridae
Source: RNAcentral